UACGGAGGGUGCAAGCGUUAAUCGGAAUUACUGGGCGUAAAGGGUGCGUAGGUGGUUGACUAAGUUAUCUGUAAAAUCCCUGGGCUUAACCUGGGCAGGUCAGAUAAGACUGGUGAACUCGAGUAUGGGAGAGGGCAGUGGAAUUUCCGGUGUAGCGGUGAAAUGCGUAGAGAUCGGAAGGAACACCAGUGGCGAAGGCGGCUGCCUGGCCUAAUACUGACACUGAGGCACGAAAGCGUGGGGAGCAAACAGGAUUAGAUACCCUGGUAGUCCACGCCGUAAACGAUGUCAACUAGCUGUUGGUCAUAUUAAAAUGAUGAGUGGCGAAGCUAACGCGAUAAGUUGACCGCCUGGGGAGUACGGUCGCAAGAUUAAA
RNAcentral lists this ribosomal RNA (376 nucleotides) under uncultured bacterium. RNAcentral's name for it is "bacterial SSU rRNA". It matches the Rfam family "Bacterial small subunit ribosomal RNA", at positions 524 to 898 of the family's 1533-position model. The record is from RNAcentral.